AGCACACUUCCGUGCAAAUACCUGCCAAAGCCUACACCAAGAUCUGGACAUCACUAGUAUGAGCUAGGUACUUAUAAAAGAAAACCGAAACGGCAGAGAUCUGAUCCUUUAAAGUACAGGUAAAUGUUGCUUUUUCAAGAAUGAUUUGGAGACAUUCCAGCAGUCUGGGUACAGAAAGGACUGCCACAGAAAUUUGUGAGAAGUUACACCAAA
Pelobates cultripes (western spadefoot toad) is the source of this 213-nucleotide non-coding RNA. Lineage: Eukaryota; Metazoa; Chordata; Amphibia; Anura; Pelobatidae. The record is from the annotation of a GenBank genome assembly.